Molecule: unclassified non-coding RNA, 200 nt
Filed under: soil metagenome
Description: partial contains internal transcribed spacer 2 and large subunit ribosomal RNA
Source: RNAcentral
AUUUGUACUCUCAAGCUUUGCUUGGUGUUGGGUGCUUGUCCUUCCCACGGUGGUUGGACUCACCUUAAAUUCAUUGGCAGCCAAUGUACUGGUCUUGAAGCGCAGCACAAUUUGCGACUUCGGCUGGUAACAUUGGCCCCCAGUAAGCCUAUUUUAACACUUUUGACCUCGGAUCAAGUAGGGAUACCCGCUGAACUUAA